AAAACUUAUGUUUUGUCGUCAGGUAUGGCAACCAUAAUCCAACGUUUCCUAGACGUCAUAAUGGCAACGUCCACACAACGUCAAAUUAAAACAUCAUUUGAUGUUGAUCUGUAGUUAGUUUUAGGUUGUGGCAUUAACUAACCAAAAUCCAACGUCGAGCCAACGUCUCAAGCCAACGUCACAUUGACAUCAAAUACUGAUGUUUUGUCGUCAGGUAUGGCAACCAUAAUCCAACGUUUUCUAGACGUCAUAAUGGCAACAUCCACACAACGUCAAAUUAAAACAUCAUUUGAUGUUGAUCUGUAGUUAGUUUUAGGUUGUGGCAUUAACUAACCAAAAUCCAACGUCGAGCCAACGUCUCAAGCCAACGUCACAUUGACAUCAAAUACUGAUGUUUAUUCAUCAGGUAUGGCAACCAAAAUCCAAUGUCUUCAAGACGUCAUAAUGGUAACGUCCAAUGAACGUCAAAUUAUAACGUAAUUUGACUUUGAUCUUUAGUUUGUUUUUAGGUUGUGACAUUAACUAACCAAAAUCCAACAUCAAGACAACGUCUCAAGCCAG
Molecule: long non-coding RNA, 561 nt
Organism: Cyprinus carpio carpio
Lineage: Eukaryota; Metazoa; Chordata; Actinopteri; Cypriniformes; Cyprinidae
Source: Ensembl